Molecule: long non-coding RNA, 1496 nt
Organism: Gambusia affinis (western mosquitofish)
Lineage: Eukaryota; Metazoa; Chordata; Actinopteri; Cyprinodontiformes; Poeciliidae
Exons: 4
Source: RefSeq, a predicted model, not a curated record
CUGGCCCCAAAACGACCCGCAGAAGAAGAACGGUAAAGAUGGCCGCCACCCAGCAGCAACGGUAAAGAUGGCCGCCACCCAGCAGCAACGGUGGCGCUGCCUCCACAGCCUGAGCCUGAAACUGGAGGCCAGGUGUUAAUUUCCUGUGUGCCAGACCAGCUCGACGGAGUCGGAACAACAUGCUCCAGUGUUUUUACAAAAUUAAAGUCUUUUAGUCUUUGAGAAGCAGGAAGUGAUGGACUGAGUCAGGAACCUUCCAGCUGCAGCGUUUCUCCGAUGGACGGCGUCAUUAGAGCCUUCAGUGAGACGUGAGGAUGAGGAAGGAGAGACGAUCCGUCACUGAUGGCCGGCGUUCCUCAUUACUGUCCUCAUUAGACUUCAGAGCUGCUCACAGUCUCUCCGCUGUGAGAGCAUCGCAGACUGAUGGCAGCUCUGAAAGGACAAACUUUCUGUGAAACCAGGAGCUGAUCCCAGAUCUGCUGUAACUGACUGGAAGGACAGGAGACGAAGGUCUGCGUGUUUCCUCAUCAUCCUCACACUGGGAGCUCUGAAUGAGUCACACAGAAAUCUGAUAAUGUCUCAUUAGAGACUCAAGACAUGAAAGGAGCUUUGAGUCUGAGUGUGUGUGAUCGUUUGACCCGUCCCCAACCUGUUGCUGUUACCCUCGGUAACAGAUCGCCCUGACAAACGGAGUCAGAUCCUCUUUUCUACAAGAUGGAGGUCAAAGAACCGUUUCAGAGCCGAACACAGGAAAUAACAUUUGCUUACACUGGAGUGUGUGUGUGUGUGUGUGUGUGUGUUUUAUGAGGCAGGUGAAAGGAGGCCGCUCUAUGACUAACAGGAGUUAAAAGUUGAAUCUGUGUGUUUUACUGCUGUGCAAAAAAAUCUCCAUUCUCAUUUAUUACGAUUCAUUUAAAAAAACAAAACAAAUCUGCUGCCAUUUGGCCUCCAUUUAAAUUGUAACAUCGCAGGAAGUCCAGUCGGUACCAUGGUGACGGUACUGGAUCGUACGCAUGCACUUCAGGAACACCGCUGGUGGGCGGAGCCAGUGAGCCAGGCCCCGCCUCUUUACGCUACGCCAUGUCAUGCUACGCUACGAUUCUUCACCAAAUAUCUCCAAAGAUUGUCAGAAGGCUGAAAUCUGGAUGGAAAUGAAAACGUCGUCCACAGAGGAGGCCGUCAGCAGAAAGGUGGCGCUCUCUCUGGGACGCUCCGUUAAAACAAAAUGGAGGACGCAGGGAGGGAUUCACUAAGCAUGGAUUAAUAUUUAAACCUUCAUAAAUGUGAAAACCACUGCUUAAUGUCUCCCUUUGUUAUUCUGCUUUCCAAAGCAGAUCAGGAGUUCUCUGAUCGAUUGAAGCAGAAAUUACAGAGAAUCAAUUUUCAUCAAACUGAUUUUGAAUCAAAUCGUGACUCUAAAAAUCUAAUCACAGUGUGAAAGAUUCCUGAACCUACAUGACAACGUAGCAACACUGUGACUUUAACGUCCCACUUCU